This 204-nucleotide ribosomal RNA is filed under the name Triticum aestivum (bread wheat). RNAcentral's name for it is "partial small subunit ribosomal RNA". The record is from RNAcentral. Lineage: Eukaryota; Viridiplantae; Streptophyta; Magnoliopsida; Poales; Poaceae.
CCACGAUGGCGGCGACGGCGGCGGCUGCUGCUACUUCGCCCACCUGACGCUUCUCCUUCGCCACCUCCUCGACGACGGCCUGCUCCUCGCCGCUGACGCCCUCCACCUCCCGGCCACCCUCGCCUCCGGCGCCACCGCCAAGUCCCCUCCCAAUUUGUGCGCACGCCCCGACGGCCUGCUGCGGAACUUCGACGUCCUCGCCGG